Molecule: ribosomal RNA, 652 nt
Filed under: uncultured cyanobacterium
Lineage: Bacteria; Bacillati; Cyanobacteriota
Description: bacterial SSU rRNA
Rfam family: Bacterial small subunit ribosomal RNA
Source: RNAcentral
AAUCUGCCUAGAGGUCGGGGACAACCAUUGGAAACGAUGGCUAAUACCGGAUAUGCCUUACGGGGUGAAAGAUUAAUUGCCUUUAGAAGAGCUCGCGUCUGAUUAGCUAGUUGGUGAGGUAAGAGCUCACCAAGGCAGCGAUCAGUAGCUGGUCUGAGAGGAUGACCAGCCACACUGGGACUGAGACACGGCCCAGACUCCUACGGGAGGCAGCAGUGGGGAAUUUUCCGCAAUGGGCGAAAGCCUGACGGAGCAAGACCGCGUGAGGGAGGAAGGCUCUUGGGUUGUAAACCUCUUUUGUCAGGGAAGAACAAAAUGACGGUACCUGACGAAUCAGCAUCGGCUAACUCCGUGCCAGCAGCCGCGGUAAUACGGAGGAUGCAAGCGUUAUCCGGAAUUAUUGGGCGUAAAGCGUCCGCAGGUGGCUGAUCAAGUCUGCGGUCAAAGACCGGGGCUUAACCCUGGAAAGGCCGUGGAAACUGAUAGAGCUAGAGUACCGUAGGGGUAGAGGGAAUUCCCGGUGUAGCGGUGAAAUGCGUAGAGAUCGGGAAGAACAUCGGUGGCGAAAGCGCUCUACUGGACGGUGACUGACACUCAGGGACGAAAGCUAGGGGAGCGAAUGGGAUUAGAUACCCCAGUAGUCCUAGCCGUA